RNAcentral lists this ribosomal RNA (253 nucleotides) under uncultured bacterium. RNAcentral describes it as "partial 16S ribosomal RNA". It matches the Rfam family "Bacterial small subunit ribosomal RNA", at positions 524 to 776 of the family's 1533-position model. The record is from RNAcentral.
UACGUAGGGGGCUAGCGUUGUUCGGAGUUACUGGGCGUAAAGGGCGCGUAGGCGGCGCACCAAGUCAGGCGUGAAAGCCCUGGGCUCAACCCGGGAAUUGCGCUUGAGACUGGUGUGCUCGAGUACGGGAGAGGAUAGUGGAAUUCCCAGUGUAGAGGUGAAAUUCGUAGAUAUUGGGAAGAACACCGGUGGCGAAGGCGGCUAUCUGGACCGUAACUGACGCUGAGGCGCGAAAGCGUGGGGAGCAAACAGG